RNAcentral lists this transfer RNA (65 nucleotides) under Calyptraea chinensis. RNAcentral describes it as "tRNA-Tyr". Lineage: Eukaryota; Metazoa; Mollusca; Gastropoda; Littorinimorpha; Calyptraeidae. The record is from RNAcentral.
UUACUAAUGACCGAGAAUAGGUGGUAGAUUGUAAAUCUAUUAACGGAGAAAUACUUCUUAGUAAA